CACUUGCUGACUGAGCUGAAAAGGGACUCCCCACUGAGCAGGCUCACCAGUGUCCCAACAGCUGGGCAGAUCAUGGGGAUGGGGAAUUCUGAGCAGACCCUCUUCAGAAAUUGAGUCUCAUGGGGCCUUGGGGAACUUGGUCAGCAGACGGCAAGACUUCAUCUGUCAGUGGGCAGGUCAGCUCAGCAGGACUCCUGUCUUUGGAACUAAGAUUCAAGUCUCUACUCUGUACCAAGACAGAGUUGGAGGCUAGGAAACAAGACACACAACCAUUUUCCAUCAUCGAGGGGCAAGGCAGGGCUUGGCAUGAGGCAGAACCGGGCUCCAUCAAUGCCACAUGUCAGGAGGAACCCCUUUUCUGUUUCAAUCCCUCCUGCCCAUUUGUGGGAGGCAUUAGAGAGGCCUAACAGUUUUUUUUUCUCCACGGCCUGAGGACGUGAUAGGAUUUCAUUCCCGCCCCACCUUGUGGUUGGAUGGAAUCAUGCGCCCAAUUGUGGUCAAGACCAAGAAACUGAGAAACAAAGCAAAUCCGUGGGAUGCAGAGGGUACGCUGAUGACUUCUGCUGGGGAGAGAAGCCCAAACACACGUCCUGGGCAGAGCCCAGAGACCUGGAGUGUGGCUGCCAGUGAGCACCCGGCUGAGGGACAAGCAGGUGGGCCUCAGUGGUGGCUGCCAGGUCCCUGGACGCCGGGGGCCACCGGCCUUGCCUCUCCUCUGCCUCGGAAGCACCGGAGGCUUUGGGGAUCUGGUGGUCCUCCGGCCCUGAACGUGGACCUGGUGUGACAAAGGGAAGUUUGCCAUCUCCAUCCUCCUCAAGCUGCCUAUGCACCCCAGUAGCACUCACCCUCUCUGUGCUCCCGUCUGCACCGCCUGUCCUGGGGUCCUUCUUUGUGCUGCACCCAAUGACAGGAACCAGUGCCCUGACUGUGACUUGCUUCCCCCCUCAGGGACACACAAGCACUUUCACAUCGAGGCUACUUUUCACCCCUUCUGCCUCCUGCAGGUACGCUGCAUGCAGAGGCAGGAGGACAGAGGGGCUGGUCUCAGGUGUGGCUUCUCUCACACCUGGCGC
Molecule: long non-coding RNA, 1073 nt
Filed under: Pan troglodytes (chimpanzee)
Lineage: Eukaryota; Metazoa; Chordata; Mammalia; Primates; Hominidae
Description: lincRNA
Source: RNAcentral